GCUGUCAUUGAAUUAGAGUUGCUAUGCCAGUUUCUCUUCCUUUGAUUAAUAAACCAGUUGUUAAUCUGCUUCAGUUGUAGCCCCGUCUCUUCAACCAGUUUCGCCUUAUCGUCUUCCUGUUAAAACAAUGUUUUGGGUAAGGCCAUUUUUUAUGUUGUUCCCACCAAUCUUUCAGAACAGAAGUAGUGUCGCCGGGUAAUUUUCCAGCGCGCCUUUU
Molecule: long non-coding RNA, 217 nt
Filed under: Helianthus annuus (common sunflower)
Lineage: Eukaryota; Viridiplantae; Streptophyta; Magnoliopsida; Asterales; Asteraceae
Description: hypothetical non coding rna
Source: RNAcentral